GGCGGGGUGGGCAGGAGGCCCUGAGCCCGGACCUGUGAGUGUUGCUGCAGGAGCAAGGAUUUUGCAGGUUUAAUUAAAUAAAGAGCCUCAGGAUGGGGGAGUAGGCCAGAGAAGACCCACCCAGCGCGGGGCGCAACCUUGCAUCUGUUCCCUGUGUGUGUCCCAGGCUGGGACCGGCAGGCGCUCAGGAGCGCGGUGACCAAAGGCCCACAGAGCCAACGUGCUUCCUGGCACUUGCUCAGACCACCUGGAUUCUGGUCAGCAGCUUUGGGGACAGUGACCUGACCUCUCAGACCCCAUCAUCCUCACUCGAGGCCACCCAGUCACAGGGCAGAUGGGGGCCCGUGUCAGGCCCACUGACACCCUCUGUCCCCAACCCAGCCACCUGCCCCCUCCUGGUUUUCCCACAGGGAGCCAGAUCCCAGGGUGCGGAGCUGUCAACUCUCAGGCCCCGCUUUGUGGCUUGGUAUUCUGUCAGGGGCUGCCGUCCCACUUCCGAGGGCUCGGGCCAGCCACAGGGGUCGGGUGCAGGACCGACCAGCAGGGGGUGCUGGUGGUUCAAGACAGCCAGCCCCAGCCGUUCCCGGAGGACUCCCAUCUCUGUGACACUCAACCCUCCUGGGGGCUCCGCGGCCUUCCCUCCCGCCCGGUGCUUCCCAGCAGCCCCACACUCUGGCCACCCGCAGGCCCUCGCCAACCGCCAAACUGCCCAACCGCCCGGGGUGCUAGAUUCCAAAGGACUGAGGGGCUCACCUUCCAGCCCCACCAGCCAGGCUGCCUUUACUGACGGGCGGGAAUGUCAUGCUGGGCAGGGGUGCAGGGACGAAUCAGGCACAGCCCUGUCCCUGGGGCCUCCGACAGAGACCCCAGAUGGGUCCCAUGAUUUCAGAACGAGCGUGCCAACCCACAGAGACCCCUACUCAGAGGGGUGUCUACUCCAGUCCCCAAGAACCCGUCAGCAGCCUCCCGCGAAGGAAGCUGACCUCCAGGCCGAGGCCAGACAGGAGGGGCAGGACCAGGUGGGCCUCGAGGCCUGGCCCUCUGCCCUCCUCAGCCCGAGCAGGUUGGGGCCCUGGUGGUGCCCUUCUUCCUGGGCUCCAGGACGCCGCUACAUGCUCAUAAAGAAGAUGCCCCGGGCUGGGACACAGCUCAGAUGGCAGAGUGCCUGCCUCGCGUGCACCAGCCCUGGGUUCAGUCCCCAGCACCACACACACACACACACACACACACACACACACACACACACACGCAGCAUUCUCUGCCCUGACACCUGAGAUUUAGCAAUACCACCCAUGGGUGACUUGACAGGUCUCCUGCUGUGACCCUGGAAUCUGGUCCUUUUCCCUUGAUCAAUGGAUCAGACACAGACCCAUGGGGAGAAAGAGGCCCAGCAUUUCCCGGGCCGUGGCCUCCGCUUCUGCCUCACCUGACGCGGAAGCCUUUUGCGGUAAGGCUUCGGCUUUACAGGAACAUGCAACAGAAAGAAUAGGAACUCAGGGGCUCCGACCAGCUCCAUGAGGGUUUCGUAUUGUUUUGUCAUGUUAAGCAGUUCCAAGAAAAGUGAAGUCACAGCCGGCUGCUCCUUUUCAGUUCUUAGAACAGAGCUGAUUUCAAAAGGGAAGCUGUGCGGCCCUCGCACACGCCCAGGGCUCCUGAGCUGGCUUUGAUUUGGCACCCAAAACUGAAGCCUCCGGAUGCGUUUUCAUCUGGUGAUAUCAAGGAGGAAACGUCCUGUUGAGAGAGUGUGCAGCGCGCUGGCUGUUGCGCCCAGCGGGCCGCCACCAGCCCUGGGGCCACCAGCUGUUUGGGGGACAGUUGGAAAAGACAGAACCCUCCUUCCUCCACCCCACACUCUCAGCUACAGUGCCCAGGCAUCGGUGCCACCCACCAGCACGUUCUCAUUGGGGGUUGGCACUGCAGGUCAGGUGGCGACCGGGGCAGGACGCGGCUCAGGAGGUUCUCAGCAGCUCGGCCACUUUUCUAGCAGAAAAGCAGGUUUCAGAUAAGGAGGAACACGGCGGGCGGGCUGCAGGGGAGGGCCACUGUGGGUGAAAACCAGGAGUUCUGUGACCAAGAUCUACUCAGUCACAUCUCUGGCUGGGUGCAGUGGCGCCUGCCAAGUCACCUGCCAUCCCAGCAACUCGGGAGGUCAAGGCGGGAGGAUCACAAGGUCGAGGUCUCAGGCACUUAGUGAGAUCCUGUGACACAGUAAGAAAUAAAAAGAACUGGGUUGUGGCUCAGUGGUACGGUGCCCUGGGUUGGAUCCUCAGUACCAGACUAACAACACAGACGUGUGCGUACCCACACCUACACAUGUGUGCAUUUCUGGCUGGGAGUCUAGCUUCAUGGGAGAGCACUUACUUCCCUACUAAGUGUGCGGCCCUGGCCGUAAUGACGAUAACAGCACUGCACCUAAUAAUAAAACCCAAAGGGAGCCAAAGCAAUCCAGUGCUCAGGCAGGGAAACCUAGGAGUCACAAUGACCAGAUGCAACGUGUGUCCUGGUGGGGCUCUGGGAACACUGAGGCAGGAGGAUCGAGAGUUCAAAGCCAGCUUCAGAGACUUAGGGGCUAAGCCACUCAGUGAGACCUGUCUGUCGAUAAAAUAUAUAUAUGUUGAAAGAAAAAGGGGGUAGGGGCUGCGGCUGAGUGCUUAGGUACCCCAGGUUCAAUCCUGGAACCAAAAAUAAAAUAAAAUAAGAUGUUAGGAAAAAAAAUCUGAAUAAACUAUAUCCUUAAGAUUAAAAGCAUGUCAACCCGGGUCAUUAAUUAUAAUGAUGUGCCACACUUAAUGAGAUGUUAAUGAGGAAAGCUAGAUGCAGAAAUAUAGAAACUCUGUACAAUUUUUCUGUAGAUCUAAGUUUCUUUUUAAAAAUGCAC
This 2878-nucleotide long non-coding RNA is filed under the name Marmota monax (woodchuck). Lineage: Eukaryota; Metazoa; Chordata; Mammalia; Rodentia; Sciuridae. The record is from RNAcentral.